UACGUAGGUGGCAAGCGUUGUCCGGAAUUAUUGGGCGUAAAGCGCGCGCAGGCGGUCCUUUAAGUCUGAUGUGAAAGCCCACGGCUCAACCGUGGAGGGUCAUUGGAAACUGGGGGACUUGAGUGCAGGAGAGAAGAGUGGAAUUCCACGUGUAGCGGUGAAAUGCGUAGAGAUGUGGAGGAACACCAGUGGCGAAAGCGACUUUCUGGUCCUUAACUGACGCUGAGGCGCGAAAGCAUGGGGAGCGAACGGG
RNAcentral lists this ribosomal RNA (253 nucleotides) under uncultured bacterium. RNAcentral's name for it is "partial 16S ribosomal RNA". It matches the Rfam family "Bacterial small subunit ribosomal RNA", at positions 524 to 776 of the family's 1533-position model. The record is from RNAcentral.